Molecule: unclassified non-coding RNA, 681 nt
Filed under: Hevea brasiliensis (rubber tree)
Lineage: Eukaryota; Viridiplantae; Streptophyta; Magnoliopsida; Malpighiales; Euphorbiaceae
Source: RNAcentral
GGACAUCAAUAAAUUAAAGCCAAAUAGCCCAAAACAAAAAAAAUUCAAAUGCCAAACAGAUCAUUCCCAAACUGAACCAAUCCGAACUAUUUAGUUUGGAUUUUGAUUGAAAUUUCUCAACAGAAAAUCAAAAAUUCCAAGCCGCGGCUUUCGUAUGCAUUCUGUAUUGCCUUAACGCCACCCCUAGCGGCAAUCAGAUCUAGUCAACUUUCAAAGAUCAUUUGCAUGCAUAUUACAUUUUCAUUUACCUUUGUGUUCAUAGGAUCUAAACCCGUUCAACAAAGGUCAAAAGCCGUUGAUAACCUUGCUCCAUGGUUUCACAUUUCUCCAGGGAGCAUUGUGUCUCCUGGCAGAUCACAUAUACCAAUACCCUCUCCUGUAAGAUGCGCGACACAUCUCUUCUCAGCAAGCAAUUCAUCUUCUGACUUUUUUAUUCGGCUUCGGAGGUAGUCAUCCAUUAAUACAUCUUUGACAAGUUCAUAGUCACCAUCACCUUUUGAUCUGCAUGGCAUGCUGAAAACUAUAUCCUUUGCUAUCCCAUAAGGAUUUCCAUUGGUGUACACGCCAGUGGAGAACCAAUCGCCUUCUGGUGUAGGAGUCACAAGAGACCUCAUUGCAUCAACAACUGAUACAGCAGUCGAUGCAGCAGAAGAUCUUCCCCAUUUCUGAAUAAGUACACCA